This 700-nucleotide ribosomal RNA is filed under the name uncultured bacterium. Its description in RNAcentral is "bacterial SSU rRNA". It matches the Rfam family "Bacterial small subunit ribosomal RNA", at positions 94 to 824 of the family's 1533-position model. The record is from RNAcentral.
AGUGGCGGACGGGUGAGUAACACGUAAGAAUUUGCCUUUAGGAGGGGGACAACAACUAGAAAUGAUUGCUAAUACCCCAUAUGCUUUCGAGUGAAAUGGAUUUUUCCGCCUAGAGAGAAGCUUGCGGCUGAUUAGCUUGUUGGUGAGGUAAUGGCUCACCAAGGCGACGAUCAGUAUCUGGUUUGAGAGGACGAUCAGACACACUGGAACUGAGACACGGUCCAGACUCCUACGGGAGGCAGCAGUGGGGAAUUUUCCGCAAUGGGCGAAAGCCUGACGGAGCAAUACCGCGUGAGGGAUGACGGCCUAUGGGUUGUAAACCUCUUUUUUCAGGGAGGAAUCAAUGACGUGUACCUGAAGAAUAAGCAUCGGCUAACUCCGUGCCAGCAGCCGCGGUAAGACGGGGGAUGCAAGUGUUAUCCGGAAUCACUGGGCGUAAAGCGUCUGUAGGUGGUCCAAUAAGUCAACUGUUAAAUCUUGAGGCUCAACCUCAAAAUCGCAGUCGAAACUAUUAGACUAGAGUAUAGUAGGGGUAAAGGGAAUUUCCAGUGGAGCGGUGAAAUGCGUAGAGAUUGGAAAGAACACCGAUGGCGAAGGCACUUUACUGGGCUAUUACUAACACUCAGAGACGAAAGCUAGGGUAGCAAAUGGGAUUAGAUACCCCAGUAGUCCUAGCCGUAAACAAUGGAUACUAGAUGUU